UUCAAAUGAGAGUUUGAUCCUGGCUCAGGAUAAACGCUGGCGGCAUGCCUAAUACAUGCAAGUCGAACGGGGGUGCUUGCACCCCAGUGGCGAACGGGUGAGUAACACGUAUCUAAUCUACCUUAUAGCGGGGGAUAGCCUUUGGAAACGAAGGGUAAUACCGCAUGAGAAUUUCAUUAUCGCAUGAGAAGAAAUUGAAAGCACCGUUUGGUGCACUAUAAGAUGAGGAUGCGGCGUAUUAGCUAGUAGGCGGGGUAAAGGCCCACCUAGGCAAUGAUACGUAGCCGAACUGAGAGGUUGAUCGGCCACAUUGGGACUGAGAUACGGCCCAGACUCCUACGGGAGGCAGCAGUAGGGAAUUUUUCACAAUGGACGAAAGUCUGAUGAAGCAAUGCCGCGUGAGUGAUGACGGUCUUCGGAUUGUAAAGCUCUGUUGUAAGGGAAGAACACUUAGGAGAGGAAAUGCUCUUAAGCUGACGGUACCUUACCAGAAAGCCACGGCUAACUAUGUGCCAGCAGCCGCGGUAAUACAUAGGUGGCAAGCGUUAUCCGGAUUUAUUGGGCGUAUAGGGUGCGUAGGCGGAUUUGCAAGUUUGAGGUUAAAGCCCGGGGCUCAACCCCGGUUCGCCUUGAAAACUGCAGUUCUAGAAUACAAGAGAGGUAAGCGGAAUUCCAUGUGUAGCGGUGAAAUGCGUAGAUAUAUGGAAGAACACCUGUGGCGAAAGCGGCUUACUGGCUUGUUAUUGACGCUGAGGCACGAAAGCGUGGGGAGCAAAUAGGAUUAGAUACCCUAGUAGUCCACGCCGUAAACGUUGAGUACUAAGUGUCGGGGGUUAUACCUCGGUGCUGCAGCUAACGCAUUAAGUACUCCGCCUGAGUAGUAUGCUCGCAAGAGUGAAACUCAAAGGAAUUGACGGGGACCCGCACAAGUGGUGGAGCAUGUGGUUUAAUUCGAAGCAACACGAAGAACCUUACCAGGGCUUGACAUCCAGUGCAAAGCUACAGAGAUGUAGUGGAGGCUAACAUUGAGACAGGUGGUGCAUGGUUGUCGUCAGUUCGUGCCGUGAGGUGUUGGGUUAAGUCCCGCAACGAACGCAACCCUUGUCGUUAGUUACUAACAUUUAGUUGAGGACUUUAACGAGACUGCUAGUGUAAGCUAGAGGAAGGUGGGGAUGACGUCAAAUCAUCAUGCCCCUUAUGUCCUGGGCUACACACGUGCUACAAUGGCAGAUACAAAGAGUCGCAAUCUCGCGAGGGGGAGCUAAUCUCAAAAAGUCUGUCUCAGUUCGGAUUGAAGUCUGCAACUCGACUUCAUGAAGCCGGAAUCACUAGUAAUCGCGAAUCAGCUAUGUCGCGGUGAAUACGUUCUCGGGUCUUGUACACACCGCCCGUCACACCACGAGAGUUGGUAAUACCAGAAGUAGGUAGCUUAACCGUAAGGAGAGCGCUUCCCAAGGUAGGAUUAGCGAUUGGGGUGAAGUCGUAACAAGGUAUCCGUACGGGAACGUGCGGAUGGAUCACCUCCUUUCUA
RNAcentral lists this ribosomal RNA (1531 nucleotides) under Mesoplasma syrphidae. RNAcentral describes it as "bacterial SSU rRNA". It matches the Rfam family "Bacterial small subunit ribosomal RNA". Lineage: Bacteria; Bacillati; Mycoplasmatota; Mollicutes; Entomoplasmatales; Entomoplasmataceae. The record is from RNAcentral.